GACGAACGCUGGCGGCGUGCUUAACACAUGCAAGUCGAACGCAAAGGCCGUGCUUUUGUGGGGUGCUUGAGUGGCGAACGGGUGAGUAACACGUGAGUAACCUGCCUUUUAGUUUGGGAUAACUACAGGAAACUAUAGCUAAUACCGGAUAGGAGCUCCUGCUGCAUGAUGGUGGUUGGAAAGUUUCGGGGGUUUGGGAUGGAGUCGGGGCUUAGCAGCUUGUUGGUGAGGUAGUGGCUUACCCUGGCUUUGACGGGUAGCCGGCCUGAGAGGGUGACCGGCCACAUUGGGACUGAGAUGCGGGCCAGACUGAUACGGGGGGAAGCAGUGGGGAACUGUGCGCGAUGGGCGGAAUCCUGAUGGAGCAACGCCGCGUGCGGGAUGUCGGCCUUCGGGGUGUAAAGCGCUUGCGCCUGUGACGAAGAGUGAGUGACGGUAAUGGGUAAAAAAGCACCGGCUAACUACGUG
This 468-nucleotide ribosomal RNA is filed under the name uncultured bacterium. RNAcentral describes it as "partial 16S ribosomal RNA". It matches the Rfam family "Bacterial small subunit ribosomal RNA", at positions 28 to 507 of the family's 1533-position model. The record is from RNAcentral.